This 447-nucleotide ribosomal RNA is filed under the name uncultured bacterium. RNAcentral's name for it is "bacterial SSU rRNA". It matches the Rfam family "Bacterial small subunit ribosomal RNA", at positions 355 to 825 of the family's 1533-position model. The record is from RNAcentral.
UGGGGAAUCUUGGACAAUGGGCGCAAGCCUGAUCCAGCCAUGCCGCGUGAGUGAAGAAGGCCUUAGGGUUGUAAAACUCUUUCGCCGGAGAAGAUAAUGACGGUAUCCGGAGAAGAAGCCCCGGCUAACUUCGUGCCAGCAGCCGCGGUAAUACGAAGGGGGCUAGCGUUGUUCGGAAUUACUGGGCGUAAAGCGCACGUAGGCGGGUUUGUAAGUAGGGGGUGAAAUCCCAGGGCUCAACCCUGGAACUGCCUUCUAAACUGCAAGCCUGGAGGUCAGGAGAGGCGAGUGGAAUACCGAGUGUAGAGGUGAAAUUCGUAGAUAUUCGGUGGAACACCAGUGGCGAAGGCGACUCGCUGGACUGAUACUGACGCUGAGGUGCGAAAGCGUGGGGAGCAAACAGGAUUAGAUACCCACGUAGUCCCUGAGCGGGCUGGCAAGGCGCAU